This 1266-nucleotide long non-coding RNA is filed under the name Fukomys damarensis (Damara mole-rat). RNAcentral describes it as "lncRNA (ENSFDAG00000030612.1)". The record is from RNAcentral. Lineage: Eukaryota; Metazoa; Chordata; Mammalia; Rodentia; Bathyergidae.
AUGCACGUCAAGAGCUGCCAGCCAUCCUCGCAGAUAAAACACCUUUCGAAAGGCUCAGGUAUGCACUGUCCACUGUCUGCUUCUGUUGUAUUUCCAGGCCAAGCAAAGCCAACUCAUUUGAUGAUUACCACAAGACCCUUAGCCACGUCGCAAGCCUCGGAAUACCACAGAAGGCCACGUUUGUGGCCGGGGCUGCAUUGUCAAGUGGACACAGUGCCCGGGGCCGGAAGAGGGACCACGCAGGACCCUGGCUGUGCGAGUGUGGUGUCGAGAGAUGGUAACUGGCAAGCCCAGCCGUGAGCCCGAGUCGGACCCUCCAACCCACACAGCUUUCCAGAGCAGCAGGCCGGUGUGCGGGCAACGUGCCGACUCCAAACCGGCAGCGCAAGAAAGGAACAGAAGCACAUCCGAGACCUAAAAUAAUCUGGGAAGUCUCUCUUCAAACAAAGAACAACUGAGAAAUGGAAGGAAAGAAUAGAGCCGCCAGACUGCUGUUUCUUCCUCCUACGAUUUUGGCCCCCAAAUCUUUAACUUUGUUGUUUCCACCGUAGAAUUCAACUCUCUUCGUAAAGCCAAUAGCUAAUAACGGCUCUUUUCGGCCCAGGCGGAUUUCUGACAUUUUGAAGCUAGCUCUCUGCCAAAUUUUCAAAGUCACCCUGUGUCCUCUUCCCCUGCAGAGUUCAUCUAGGAGCUUUCCUUCAGUAAUAACCGGCACUUCAUUAAAAAAAUGAAAAGUAAACUUUACGUGCCCUGCUGGCCGUUUGUCGUUGGAGAGUCGGGCUGGAUUGGACCCAGUGCUGUCUUUCUCAGUGGCCUAAUUUCCUGGCGAUAACAAAGAUAAAGCUUGUAGGUGAUGGAAUGCUUCUGCAAUGACUCAGAAAUAGAAGGAAAACUUGCAGUAAUCUUAUUUUCUACACUUGCCUUCUUAUCAUCGGUAAGGUCAUUAAACGUGUGCGUAUUGUUAAGCAUUUUAUCCGUUAUGAGUAGUGAGCUGUACUUGGAUUUCGCAUAUUAACUCUUCUCCAUAACGCUGUGCUCCGUCUGCAUUAUCGAUGUCACUGUAGUAUUUGGUUUAUCCUUGCAUCACGUAGCUUACAAAGCACGCUCACACCUACCCUGUCUGUGAUACUCUCACUCUGCCAUUCUUUUAUUCAUUUUUCCAGCCAGUUUUUAUUGAAUACCUAAAAUAUGCCGUGCAGAGUGGUGCGUCCACCCCCGGGUGUGCCUCACCAUUACAACUGCCCUGUUUUACACAUGCACGCCAGG